GAUGAACGCUAGCUACAGGCUUAACACAUGCAAGUCGAGGGGUAACAAGAGGAAAGCUUGCUUUUCUUGUUGACGACCGGCGCACGGGUGAGUAACGCGUAUCCAACCUGCCUAUAACUAGGGAAUAACCUUGCGAAAGUACGACUAAUACCCUAUGAUUUACUUUGAUGACAUCAGAUUAGGAAUAAAGAUUUAUCGGUUAUAGAUGGGGAUGCGUCGGAUUAGCGUGUUGGCGGGGUAACGGCCCACCAAGGCAACGAUCAGUAGGGGUUCUGAGAGGAAGGUCCCCCACAUUGGAACUGAGACACGGUCCAAACUCCUACGGGAGGCAGCAGUGAGGAAUAUUGGUCAAUGGGCGGAAGCCUGAACCAGCCAAGUAGCGUGCAGGGUGACGGCCCUAUGGGUUGUAAACUGCUUUUAUACAGGAAUAAAGUUAGCCACGUGUGGUUAUUUGUAGGUACUGUAUGAAUAAGGACCGGCUAAUUCCGUGCCAGCCGCCGCCGUAA
Molecule: ribosomal RNA, 506 nt
Filed under: uncultured bacterium
Lineage: Bacteria
Description: partial 16S ribosomal RNA
Rfam family: Bacterial small subunit ribosomal RNA
Source: RNAcentral